RNAcentral lists this ribosomal RNA (480 nucleotides) under uncultured bacterium. Its description in RNAcentral is "SSU rRNA". It matches the Rfam family "Bacterial small subunit ribosomal RNA", at positions 26 to 518 of the family's 1533-position model. The record is from RNAcentral.
AGGACGAACGCUGGCGGCGUGCUUAACACAUGCAAGUCGAACGGAGUCCAUCCGGUGGCGACACCGGUGAAGGCUCAGUGGCGAACGGGUGCGGAACACGUGAGCAACCUGCCCCAAAGACCGGGAUAACACCGGGAAACUGGUGCUAAUACCGGAUACCCCCACGAGCUCGCAUGGGCUCAUGAGGAAAGGGUUUCCGCUUUGGGAGGGGCUCGCGGCCUAUCAGCUUGUUGGUGAGGUAACGGCUUACCAAGGCGACGACGGGUAGCUGGUCUGAGAGGACGAUCAGCCACACUGGGACUGAGACACGGCCCAGACUCCUACGGGAGGCAGCAGUGGGGAAUCUUGCGCAAUGGGCGAAAGCCUGACGCAGCAACGCCGCGUGGGGGAUGAAGGCCCUCGGGUUGUAAACCCCUUUCAGUGGGAACGAAAUUGACGGUACCACAGAAGAAGCCCGGCCAACUACGCGCCAGCAGCCGC